AGCUGCAGUCGUGUUCCUGACCCCAGACUGUAAUUCUGAGUCGAGGCGUGCGGAGGGCUCCUGGACCUGGUCACACCCUCAACACAUUCUCCCCUCCUCCCCCGCUCACUGGGGUUUAUUUUUUAGGGGUGGGGCUGCCCCCCGAGGCUAUAAAAACACUGGUGAGAGAAAAAACAAGGUUUUUUCUCUUUGGGGAGGCUGCCUGCAGCACAGCCGAGAAGCAAGUGAGGAGAGCUCGGGGCCCACCCCCAGGCCAGCCGGACCAACACCAGGAGAGGCUGCCUCUCUCUGGCCAGACCGCGUUCUGCAUCCCAGCUGGCGCCCACCCUCCUGUGGGAGCUGCCUUGGCCAUGGCUUUCGUCUGGCUGGCGGUGUUCCUGGUGGCGUUCCUGGUGCCCGUCUCCGGCCUGCUGCCACCGGACCACGACGCUUACCCUAUGGACAUUUCCGAUCCAGACCCACCGAUUAAGAACCUAAGGAUGGAGCCAGAAAGAAAAAGAUUGACCUGGGACCUCCAUGGAAACGUUUCCGAAAUUAUGUGUUUCAUCAAUUCAAAAGCUUUCACUAAGGCACGGAAAAGCACGUAUUGCAGUAUUGCUGACUUGUCAUGCCAACCGACAAACUACAGCAUCAGGGUGACCAAAGGUCAGCCGUUCUCCACGUGGAUUCAGUAUCCUAGUCAAGAAGGGAAUCCCAGGGCGGCUGCAGAAAACCUGACCUGCUGGGUUCACGACGUGGAUUUCCUGACGUGCAGCUGGGCGGUGGGCCGGGAGGCCCCGAGGGACGUGCAGUACGGUCUCUACCUGGAGAACCUAGACUCCUAUGAGAAGUGGCCGUGCUCCCAGUACACAGCAGAUGAGCAAGGGACAAACGUCCAGUGCCGUUUUCACAACAUCUCUGUGUUAUCCAAGGAUCAAACCCGUUUCCUGGUGAAUGGCACCAGCAGUGGCUCCAAAAUCCCCUGCUCUGAAACGAGCGAUAAAUUAGCCAAAAUCGAGGUAUUAGCUGCUCCCAACAUCACUAGCAGGUGGUGUAACCAAAGCUACUCGUUCAUGCAAUGGCAAGUGAGGAGUCACCUUAACGAUGACCUCAAGUAUGAACUUCAGAUGCAGAAGGGUAUGGAGCUCGCCUACAAACAGGAGAUCUAUAAAGCCUUCUUGGAGCUGAGCAAUCCUGGGACCUACACGGUGCGAGUAAGAGCCAGGGAUGCCACGUUUUCCCAUUACAAACCUUGGGGCCCGUGGAGUGUCCCCCAACACUUCGUGUGUGAGGACGAGGAGGGCGCGCGCCUCCCCGUCUGGCUGACGUCUUUGCUGAUCGCGCUGGGGACGCUGCUCGCUAUGGGGUUCGUGCUCCUGUUUUGCAGGUUCUCGGUGAUGCAGAAGCUGUUCCCUCCCAUCCCUCACAUGAAAGACCAUAUCAACUGCAAACUUCAGAACGGAAGGACGAUGACCUGGGACCCUGACCAAGACAGCCAGGAGGAGUGUCCAGUGGCCGAGGUGCAGGUUCUGGGGGAAACAUGAAGCUGGUGCAGAGGCCCCGCUUUCCGCUAGGCGGAGGGCGCACAGCCUGGUCAUGGCUGGUCAUGGACGUUUCAAGCAGGGUCAGGGAUGGGAAAGCCCAGUGCAAUUGACACGGGGUCGCCUCGAGGAAGAAAGAACAAAACAUGUGUUGGGCUCAUGUCUCGAAUAGAGGGCUUUUUUCCUCAUCCGUGGCCCCCGGAAGUGGGGGCCACCCCCCAACGCCACUGAGACCCACUUUCCAGCCUCCUGGACUUGGCUGGUGCUCUCCUGUCCACUGGGUUUGCUCCUUCCCAAGUCCGUGAAGGGUCCCUGCCUGCUUGGUUUCUCUAUCCUUAACUGAACUUCGUUUUCUUGCUGCAUUUCCCCUUUGUAAGCCCCUUAGAUCACUUGCGUGACAACGCGGGGCCAGGGGGGUGGUGUCUACAUCCCUCCCCUGGCUACGUGUGCGACCCCAGGGAAGGCACACGGGAGACAGGCGUCAAAGCGGCAGGAAAGGGGGUGUCAGGGCAGCGGGGGCAGGCAGGCGCAGAGGAGCGGCCCUGCGUCCAGACGUGGUCGUGGUGGGCAGUGAAGACACCCACCUGUACGCCCACGGAAAAGGACGCCCAAGUGCACAGCCUGGCCCACGGGAACCCGAGUCUCCAAGAGGCAAGGCUUUCCUGGAGGACCUCUAAUUUCGUUCCUUUGUUUACACGCUUAACAUGUCAAGCUCUGUAGGAAAGAAUUCACCCCAGACGGCAGGUGCAGACUUGCUAGCUCUGAGGAAGGCACCCCUGCAGAGCCUGCAGGAUGGCGCACGGUCGAUGGCCCUCAAUGCACACAGGUGGAAGCGUGUCCCAGUUCUGACCCCGCAGUCAGCACAGGUCUGGGUAGACAGACGACGUCCCAGUUCGUCGAUGGCCCUCAAUGCACACGGGUGGAAGCGUGUCCCAGUUCUGACCCCGCAGUCAGCACAGGUCUGGGUAGACAGACGACGUCCCGGUUCCAAGUGACUCCACCCCGAGGGCCGGGGCACAGCCCCUGCAGUGGACCCGUCUGACCUCUCCAAGGUCACUUGGUGCUGGAAGCUCCACGUGGACCCAGGGAACAGUUCUGUUCUUGGGCGGCUCUGUGCGUGACCGUGAGGCCUCAGACUGGUGAUGACCCCGCAGGCACAGUCCUGGACCCUGAGAACACCCAAAGCGUCCCCAGAAUACACCCCACUCCCCCCACGUUAACAUACCAGGACCCUGGGGUCAGCCUGGUAGAGACUCUCAAAGCAAGUUCUCUCCCUGCAGUGAACAUCAGGCUUCCUGCAGAUACGGCUCAAAG
Eubalaena glacialis (North Atlantic right whale) is the source of this 2834-nucleotide RNA transcript. It is a transcript of the gene named interleukin-3 receptor subunit alpha-like, with no coding region annotated. NCBI's taxonomy places the organism in Eukaryota, Metazoa, Chordata, Mammalia, Artiodactyla, Balaenidae. The record is from RefSeq and is a predicted model, not a curated record. The transcript has 13 exons.